AAGUCUCUUUCUCACCGUUAGGGAACGUUAUAAUUUUCUCCUCUCUUUCUGACGCUUCAUUGUGUGUCGCCGCCCUCCCCUUCAGGGACGUACCUCUUUCUCUUCUGUGAUCCUUUUCUUACCAUACACCAUGAGCCUGGAAGCCAAUAUCGCGGUGUGCCUUCACGACCUGAAGUCGCCCUCGGAUCAUCCGGUGGCGCUGCGCUCCUCCCCAAACGGAGUCUCCUUCAUGUGCCCCCCAUCCCUGAAGGAGGCUAACUUCCCCGGCAAUGACACGAAUUUUGCGGUAGAGCAUGUGCUGGAGCGGCCGAAUGCGGGUGCAAUCCAGAAAAAGAUGCUCUCCUCUGCUGCCUCCGACUUUGUGAAGAACCGUCAGAACCUGGUCAUGUUCAGCUACGGCGUCCGCUCUACCCCGAAGCGUCAACUGAUGUACGGCCAACAGUCCGAGGAGGGCUACGCGGUGCGCGUCAUCUCAGAUGCAGUAACCACUGGCCAGGGUAUCUUCACGCUUUCGUGCUACAUUAUUGGCCAGGACGAACACCUUGUGGACCUUAUCUCGGCAGAAAACGAACUCGGCGUGAUUGUGGAGUCAGUGAAGGAAGGCCCGCGUGUGCGUAUGGUGGAGCGCUCCAGGGUCAAGACUGAAUCGGAUGUGCGAGGCGUCUUCUCCAAGAUCGUGCAGAACUACCACAAGCAGUUCGAGUCCGUGCUGCCAGAGAAGCAGCCCACCGCCGAGCUCCAGGCGCUUCCACCGUACAAGGGCGAUACGAUCAUGCUGCAGCUGUUCCGCUACGAAUCUGAGGAGAAGUACAGCAACUACGAGGAUGCCAACUCGAUGACGUUUGUGGCUCUCGGUGACUCGGAGCGGCCGGUGCUGUGCGGCCUCGAUUCUUCCCAGCAAGAGGCGUUCGAGAAGACAAACCGUAUCUUGCUGUCUGCUGUGGGCAUUGUGUCGAGCAUCAAGUGCAGCCGCCUGCGCAUUCCCUUUGGCAAGUCGAAGCUGAGCCAGUUGAUGCGCCGCUGCUACAAUGCCGAGAAGGGCAACCCCAACGGCGCCCUGAACGGGCCCACAAACACUGUCAUGCUGAUUCACUGCUGGACGAACGGCGAGUGGGCGGAGGAGAGUUUUCACAACCUUUCCAUGAUACGGCGCAUCUGCAACACGCUUGGCUCCUCCGGCAUUGGCUCCAUGCUGCGCGACUUGCCAGUGGAGAAGUGGCGCCUCGAUCAGGACAUCAAUGAGCUGCGCGAUGAGCUGGUGGUGGCGCGCAUGGUGUACGACUACAAGCCGUGCAUCUGCGAGUCCGCAAAGCCUAUCGCGAACAUCAAGGAGGAGGAGCUGAAGCGCAUCAACGCCAUCCAGCUGAAACGCAACGAGGCGCACGAGAAGCAGCUCGCCAUGAUCCAGGAGAAGGCCAUGGAGGAGGCCAAGAAGACCAUCAAGGAUCAGGAGGCGAGCAGCGGCGUCACCCUGGCGUCCCUCGAAAAGAUGCUCGAGGCCAAGAAGCGUGAAAACGAGUCGCUGCAGCUCGAGCGUGACAACAUGACGCAUGAGUACGAGCAGACACUCGAAAAGAUCCGGCGCAAGAAGUACAGCGAGGAAGACAUCGUGUCUCGCCUCCGUGAGGAGACAAAUCAGUUGGAGGAGGAGCUGGGCGCGCGCCAGGCGGCCAUCCUGAACAAGCAGAAGCAGCUGGAUUUGGCAAAGCUGGACAAAACCAAAUGCCGCGAGGCCAUCCUGCGCGAGCGCGGAAACGUGGAGGCGAUGCGCAAGACGCUCAUGACUGAGCGGCGCCACCAACGUGAGCAAUGGAUUAAGCAGAUCAAGGAAGUUAACCAGCAGGUGCUGGUGCAGCUCCGCACCAUGGCUGAUGAGCGCAAGCAGAACGGCGAGACCGUUUCGGCGAAAGAGGAGGCGUCCGAGAAGGCCGUGAUUGAGGACAUCAAGACCAUUGAGGAGUACCUGCCAAAGCUCAUCUCGCUCGAGGACGUCCCUGUCAACCCGGAGGAGACAGAGAGCAUCCGCCGCCAGUUUGAUGAAGUCUUCUUGCAGGAGAAAAAGACGUACCUGAUGAAGAUCGAUGAGGAGAAGGCGCGCAAGGAGAAGCUGGAGAAGGGCCUCAUGGCGUACCGCAACCGCGUGCUCGAAGUGGCGCACGCAAAGAAGAAGGAGAACAUGCAGGAUGCCGCGAAGAAGGAGCAGCACCUCAGCUCGCUGGUCGAGCAGGUGCUCACGUACCUGCGCAACGGCGUGAAGAUGAUGAAGGUGUCGAGCAAGAAUCAUGUGCGCUGCCGCUUUUACUUCAUCUCCGAUGAUGGAAGUCGCAUCCACUCAUGCGAACUUGAUGGCCAGGGUGCCCCGAUCAACCGACGCAAGCCGCCAGUGACUAUCUGGCUGCGCGACAUCCGCAAGGUGGUGCUCGGCGUCUACACCGAAUCCUUCGUGUCCUUCAGCUCCGAGAGCCAGCUCGCCAAAGCGCGCGCCGAGGCGGUCACGGACAACGGCACAUACCGCAAUGACAUAACGCAGAGCAUCACGCCUGCGAACAUCGGCCUCAACAAUUACCGCGCGUUUGCGCUGCUGCUACGCGGCGGCAAGUCGCUCGAGGUGGUUUGCUACUCCGACACAGACUGCGAGGCUUGGAUGGUGGGACUUCGGCGUCUGCUGGGGAUCAAGACGGCGACUGAGAAGCAAGUGGAACAGCAUAUGGAAAGUGUCCGCCCUCAGGAGCCCCCUGUGGUGGAGCAGCCAGUGGAGAUGAAGUUCGGCGGCCUCCUUGACGUGCGCAACAUGCGCGGCUUUCUCGCACUCUCCGCCGAGGAGGCCAGUUUGUGCAGUGAGAGCCACAUUCCGCCGGCGCUCUUCCUGCGCGUAAAGCAGGAGAUGGUGGACAAGUCUCACACCGGCUCCAUCACCACCUACGACGUGCGCGUUUCCUCUGGGCUCGACUUGGUGCGCUCAGGUUGCAUCUACGACUUCCUGGUGCAGCAACACAUCAUCCCACUUCCGUUCUAGGAGAUGCGUUGCGAUGCCACGUGGCACGUACGUUUUGCUUUCUUGACACCCACAUCAUACGCUGUGGUUUCUUGCUUCAACAAGUUUCUGACUAUCGUGGCGGCGAAGGCCGAGGCACCUUUGGUGCGUGUCGCAGCGUGUCUUCACGCACGCCGCUGUACUCCCCCACUCCCUCUUUGAUUCUUUCGUACUCCGCCGUUUGCCGUAUUUUCGCUUUUGCUGUUUCUCGAGUGCGCGCCGAACGUCUCUCUCUUGUAUGCUUGACGUGUGAGGGAAGAGCGUGGAGAGAGAGGGGGCCGGCGGCGGUGGUGGUGGUGGGAGCACCAACACCCACGCUCACAAAGAGAGGGAGACAGCACUUCCAGCACGUGGGAGCGUGAAACAAACUCAAAGGAUCCACGCUCACUGCUCUUCUCAGAUGCGUCCUCUAUUUCUCAUUGACUAUAUAUGGGCUUAUGCGUGUCUGUCUGUGUGUAUCCCUGUCUGACCUCUGACCUCUCUCCCUCUCUUACUGUCCCCUUCACUAUUGCUGUGCUAUAUAUUUCCAUUUCCUUGAUGACGCGCUUGCCACCCCUCCUCCUCUAUCAUGGUCUCUGUGUCUCUAUGUGUCUACGCGUCUGUGUUUUUGUGUGACACCGCGUUCUACAUUUUCUUUUUCGAUGGUGGCCUGUCUUCGCGCGCGCAUGGCUUGAUACUCUGGGUUGCGGAAAGGUCUUCACCUCCGCCAGCUCAUCUACUCGGAGAUCCACGCUGGCGGACACUGAAGCACAAGCGUAUGCGCGAUUAUACAAACUUGAUUUCGUAGAAGGAGAGAUAUGUUCUCAAGCGUGUCACCAUCAACACAUUCCAAGCGGAUGUCCUCCCUGUUCAUCGCUUUUUGCUUUCCAAUUUGUUUUCUUGCUUGAUUUAGCGGUGGGGUGCCUCACAUGUCUUCUGUCGACGUCUCGCUCUUUCUUUCCCGCCGGCCCUCUUGUUUCACUGUCCGCACCUUUGUUGUUUCUUUCUCUCGGGUGGCCGAUAGACGCCAAACAAACAAGAUGGCGCACUUCGCAUCUUCAAAAGCGCGUACCCACGUAGGGUGGGAGAGAGAAAGCCAAAUACCUCUGCCCACUCUGACCGUCUAAAGCGACAUAUGCCGGUGGUGCCGUCGUUGGAGGUUGAGGCAGCGGUGCAACGCGUAAGUACAUCUCUGGAGUGCAAAG
RNAcentral lists this unclassified non-coding RNA (4218 nucleotides) under Leishmania donovani. RNAcentral's name for it is "gene:LdHU3.25.3030(CDS-product:hypothetical_prote in_conserved)". The record is from RNAcentral. Lineage: Eukaryota; Euglenozoa; Kinetoplastea; Trypanosomatida; Trypanosomatidae.